CCUACGGGAGGCAGCAGUGGGGAAUUUUGGACAAUGGGCGCAAGCCUGAUCCAGCCAUGCCGCGUGCAGGAUGAAGGCCUUCGGGUUGUAAACUGCUUUUGUACGGAACGAAAAGACUCUGGUUAAUACCUGGGGUCCAUGACGGUACCGUAAGAAUAAGCACCGGCUAACUACGUGCCAGCAGCCGCGGUAAUACGUAGGGUGCGAGCGUUAAUCGGAAUUACUGGGCGUAAAGCGUGCGCAGGCGGUUAUAUAAGACAGAUGUGAAAUCCCCGGGCUCAACCUGGGAACUGCAUUUGUGACUGUAUAGCUAGAGUACGGCAGAGGGGGAUGGAAUUCCGCGUGUAGCAGUGAAAUGCGUAGAUAUGCGGAGGAACACCGAUGGCGAAGGCAAUCCCCUGGGCCUGUACUGACGCUCAUGCACGAAAGCGUGGGGAGCAAACAGGAUUAGAUACCCUGGUAGUCCACGCCCUAAACGAUGUCAACUGGUUGUUGGGUCCUCACUGACUCAGUAACGAAGCUAACGCGUGAAGUUGACCGCCUGGGGAGUACGGCCGCAAGGUUGAAACUCGAAAGGAAUUGACGCGUGAGACGNGACGACGACGACGACGAGGGAGGAGG
This 621-nucleotide ribosomal RNA is filed under the name uncultured bacterium. RNAcentral describes it as "bacterial SSU rRNA". It matches the Rfam family "Bacterial small subunit ribosomal RNA", at positions 338 to 951 of the family's 1533-position model. The record is from RNAcentral.